Molecule: non-coding RNA, 185 nt
Filed under: Conexibacter woesei
Lineage: Bacteria; Bacillati; Actinomycetota; Thermoleophilia; Solirubrobacterales; Conexibacteraceae
Source: RNAcentral
UGCUCAACUCGCGGUGCUGGUAGCUUCCCCGCCUCACGGCGCGGGGAAUCCGGUGAGAGACCGGAGCUGGCGCGCAGCGGUAUGGGUGACGAACGGCUCGCAGUCCCGCCGACCCGAACGGGUCGGGAAGGGGAGCCGGGAGGACGACCCCGAGCCCGAAUAUCCGUCCGUGAGUCACGUGCAGC